UACGGAGGGGGCUAGCGUUGUUCGGAAUUACUGGGCGUAAAGCGCACGUAGGCGGCUUUGUAAGUUAGAGGUGAAAGCCCGGAGCUCAACUCCGGAACUGCCUUUAAGACUGCAUCGCUAGAACGUCGGAGAGGUAAGUGGAAUUCCGAGUGUAGAGGUGAAAUUCGUAGAUAUUCGGAAGAACACCAGUGGCGAAGGCGACUUACUGGACGACUGUUGACGCUGAGGUGCGAAAGCGUGGGGAGCAAACAGG
RNAcentral lists this ribosomal RNA (253 nucleotides) under uncultured bacterium. Its description in RNAcentral is "partial 16S ribosomal RNA". It matches the Rfam family "Bacterial small subunit ribosomal RNA", at positions 524 to 776 of the family's 1533-position model. The record is from RNAcentral. RNAcentral also lists the same sequence under 1 other name.